Balaenoptera acutorostrata (minke whale) is the source of this 72-nucleotide non-coding RNA. NCBI's taxonomy places the organism in Eukaryota, Metazoa, Chordata, Mammalia, Artiodactyla, Balaenopteridae. The record is from the annotation of a RefSeq genome assembly.
UCCCUGGUGGUCCAGUGGUCAGGACUCUGCACUAUCACUGCUGGGGCCCGAGUUCAAUCCUUGGUCAGAGAA